UUCUUCGGGGCGGGGCGUAAUUCCCCACCGGCGGUAAAGUCCGCGACCCACAUAAGUGGUUGAAUCGGUGCGAUUCCGAUACCGACAGUUAUAGUCUGGAUGAGAGAAGAA
This 111-nucleotide non-coding RNA is filed under the name uncultured Faecalimonas sp. Its description in RNAcentral is "FMN riboswitch (RFN element)". It matches the Rfam family "FMN riboswitch aptamer (RFN element)". From Rfam's summary of the family: The RFN element is a highly conserved domain that is found frequently in the 5'-untranslated regions of prokaryotic mRNAs that encode for flavin mononucleotide (FMN) biosynthesis and transport proteins. Lineage: Bacteria; Bacillati; Bacillota; Clostridia; Lachnospirales; Lachnospiraceae. The record is from RNAcentral.